Unclassified non-coding RNA from Urocitellus parryii (Arctic ground squirrel), 35 nucleotides. Lineage: Eukaryota; Metazoa; Chordata; Mammalia; Rodentia; Sciuridae. The record is from Ensembl.
UAGCCCAUCGGGGCCUGGAUACCUGGCCUAUUUUU